GAGGAAUUUUGCGCAAUGGGGGCAACCCUGACGCAGCAACGCCGCGUGAGUGAUGAAGGCUUUCGGGUCGUAAAGCUCUGUCGAGUGGGAAGAAACAGUUCAGGUUAAUAUCCUGAACCUUGACGGUACCACUAAAGGAAGCACCGGCUAACUCCGUGCCAGCAGCCGCGGUAAUACGGGGGGUGCAAGCGUUAUUCGGAAUUAUUGGGCGUAAAGGGUGCGUAGGCGGUUUUGUAAGUCAGAUGUGAAAUCCCGGGGCUUAACCUCGGAACUGCAUUUGAUACUGCAAGACUUGAGUAUGGGAGAGGGAAGCGGAAUUCCUGGUGUAGAGGUGAAAUUCGUAGAUAUCAGGAGGAACACCGGUGGCGAAGGCGGCUUCCUGGACCAAUACUGACGCUGAGGCACGAAGGCGUGGGGAGCAAAC
RNAcentral lists this ribosomal RNA (424 nucleotides) under uncultured bacterium. Its description in RNAcentral is "bacterial SSU rRNA". It matches the Rfam family "Bacterial small subunit ribosomal RNA", at positions 356 to 773 of the family's 1533-position model. The record is from RNAcentral.